GAGUUUGAUCAUGGCUCAGAACGAACGCUGGCGGCAGGCCUAAUACAUGCAAGUCGAGCGCGCCCUUCGGGGUGAGCGGCGGACGGGUGAGUAACGCGUGGGAAUAUGCCCUUCUCUAAGGAAUAGCCUCUGGAAACGGAGAGUAAUACCUUAUACGCCCUUCGGGGGAAAGAUUUAUCGGAGAGGGAUUAGCCCGCGUUAGAUUAGGUAGUUGGUGGGGUAAUGGCCUACCAAGCCUACGAUCUAUAGCUGGUUUGAGAGGAUGAUCAGCCACACUGGGACUGAGACACGGCCCAGACUCCUACGGGAGGCAGCAGUAGGGAAUCUUAGACAAUGGGGGAAACCCUGAUCUAGCCAUGCCGCGUGUGUGAUGAAGGCCCUAGGGUCGUAAAGCACUUUCGCCAGAGAUGAUAAUGACAGUAUCUGGUAAAGAAACCCCGGCUAACUCCGUGCCAGCAGCCGCGGUAAUACGGAGGGGGUUAGCGUUGUUCGGAAUUACUGGGCGUAAAGCGCACGUAGGCGGAUUAGUAAGUUAGAGGUGAAAUCCCAGGGCUCAACCCUGGAACUGCCUUUAAUACUGCUAGUCUUGAGUUCGAGAGAGGUAAGUGGAAUUCCGAGUGUAGAGGUGAAAUUCGUAGAUAUU
Molecule: ribosomal RNA, 643 nt
Filed under: uncultured Alphaproteobacteria bacterium
Lineage: Bacteria; Pseudomonadati; Pseudomonadota; Alphaproteobacteria
Description: bacterial SSU rRNA
Rfam family: Bacterial small subunit ribosomal RNA
Source: RNAcentral